UGUGGGUUUUUAUGUGGGUCCACUAUAACAGUGGUAGGGUGUUUCGGCAUGCACUGAUAUAUGCACAAUAUAUAGUGAUAUUCUCAAUGUUACCUAGAAAACAGGAUACAGGUUUAAAUCAUUCGAAAUACUUCUGCUUAAUGUUACACUGUCAGACAUGCAAAAGAAAUCUAUUGUAUCUCUUUCUCUGGCUACUGUGUAUAGACUACCAGGGCCAUAUACAGAAUUCCUAAAAUAAUUUGGAGAUUUCCUCUCAGACCUGUUGGUUACCGCUGAUAAAGCGCUAAUUUUCGGAGAUUUUAACAUUCACGUCGAUAAUACAAAUGAUGCUUAGGUAAUCAUAUGCUAUAUUUAAUUAUAUCGCAUGGAAUCGAUCUUACUGACAUAGAUAUCAUACCUCAAAGUGAUGAUGUUACUGACCAUUUCCUUGUAUCGUGCAUUCUGCGUAUUGAUGAUAAUAACUAUAUAGCUUCGCAUUAUCGUCCAGGCAGAACUAUUGUUCCAGCCACCAAAGACAGAUUCACAAAUAACCUGCCUGAUUUACAGCUCUGUGUACCCAUAAAUACACAUGAACUAGACAAAAUGACUGGCAACAUGGGCACUAUCUUCUCUAAUACAUUAGAAGCUGUUGCCCCCAUCAAAUUGAAAAAGGUUAGAGAAAAACGUAUUGUGCCAUGGUACAACAGUAAUACCCACUCUCUCAAGAAAGAAACUCGUAGUCUUGAGCGCAAAUGGAGAAAAACUAACUUGGAAGUUUUUAGAAUUGCGUGGAAAAACAGUAUGUCCAGCUAUAGACAGGCUCUAAAAACUGCCAGGACCGAGCAUAUCCACAAACUCAUAGAAAACAACCAAAACAAUCCAAGGUUUUUAUUUAGCACAGUGGCUAGAUUAACAAAUAACCAGACGCCACCCGAUCUAAAUAUUCCCUCACAGUUAAAUAGUAAUGACUUUAUGAAUUUCUUCACUGAUAAAAUAGAUAACAUCAGAAAUACAAUAACAAAUGUAGAUUCUACAGCGUCUAAUACUUUAGAUCGCACCCAAAGAUAAACUG
Cyprinus carpio (common carp) is the source of this 1051-nucleotide long non-coding RNA. NCBI's taxonomy places the organism in Eukaryota, Metazoa, Chordata, Actinopteri, Cypriniformes, Cyprinidae. The record is from Ensembl.